UAAACUGUUCGCUAGUCACGACGAAGACCUAGGUUCGAUUCCCCAAAUGGUUAAAAUGUAUGAAAAACCCAUUUCUGGUGUCCCCCGCAGUUAUAUUGUUGGAAAAUUGCUAAAUCGGCGUAAAAC
Long non-coding RNA from Haliotis rubra (blacklip abalone), 126 nucleotides. RefSeq lists it as uncharacterized. Lineage: Eukaryota; Metazoa; Mollusca; Gastropoda; Lepetellida; Haliotidae. The record is from RefSeq and is a predicted model, not a curated record. The transcript has 3 exons.